AUCUACGGCCAUACCACCCUGAACGUGCCUGAUCUCUCCUGAUUUUGGAAACUAAGCAGGGUCCGGCCUGGUUAGCACUUGGAUGGGAGACUAGUUAUGAAUGCUCAGCCUAGCUUAGGCU
Molecule: non-coding RNA, 121 nt
Organism: Mesocricetus auratus (golden hamster)
Lineage: Eukaryota; Metazoa; Chordata; Mammalia; Rodentia; Cricetidae
Source: Rfam